CGUAGACACUGAUAUUGUAUUAAUACUAUAGAAGGUCGUUAAUAACGAUUAAUAAUAAUAAUGGACCUAGGGGAAAAAACUAUCAAGGCACAGGAUAAAAGAAACAAACGCAAGAAAGACUGGGGGCAUUAUGGGGAAUACAUGAGUGCUAAACUUAGGAAGCUUGAUGAGCAGUUUACAGCUGACGUCCAUUCUGCUGCUACAGAAAGUAGAGAGUCAUCAGCCAUCUUCCAAGGACUAGCUAUUUUCAUAAAUGGUUAUACAAUUCCUCCAGCUGAUGACUUAAGAAAGCUAUUUGUUCUUCAUGGAGGAAGGUUUCAGCAGUAUUUUUCACGGUCGUCUGUUACACACAUCAUUGCUACUAAUCUUCCCAACAGCAAGAUCACUGAAAUCAGAGACAAGAAGAUAGUGCGUCCCCAGUGGAUCCUUGACAGUAUUGAACAAGGGCGUUGUUUGCCGAUAGACCAAUAUCUGUUGUACAGUGGUCGACUGGCUUUGCAGAAACGACUGAACUUUUCCAAUGCUGAUCAAUCUGUACAAUCAACUGUUCAGCAUCCAUCAUCCAAGGAAAAGAAAAAUACUGUCUGCUGUAUCGAUUCUGAAAUUCCUACAAUAAAUGUAGAUACAUUAAAUGCUGAAAAACCUUCAAACACUGAAAAUAAACAAAAAUUYGAUUCUGAUGCACCAUUAGAUAUGUCUGUGGAUUUUGCCAAUUCAUCCAUCCUAAUGGACCUUCCCAUGGCUAAUGAUGAUAAGGGUGAUGAUGAUGCUUCAACAAAAGCAAAACGACAUGUGGAUAAUACAGGAAUACCAGUUAUGGACAAAGAAAUAAACACUAGGCAUCUUAAGGCAGGGGAGCCUAAUUUUAUGACUGAGUUUUAUAGUAACUCUAGGCUGCAUCAUCUUUCAACGUGGAGUGCAGAAUUUAAACAGUUUACUAGUGAUCUGAUAAAGGCUAGAAUACGAAAGGGCAUAGUUCCUCAUCAAAAUCCUGGACCAGCAUCUUACGGCAGGGUUAUUAUGCAUGUUGAUAUGGACUGUUUCUUUGUAUCUGUUGGUCUAAGAAACAAACCAAGUCUUCUGGGAAAACCUGUUGCAGUUUGUCAUGCUGGGAAAACUAACACUGGGAAAGAGGUAAUAUCUCCUGGAAAAGAAAUGUCAGCUUCGUUUUUCACCUCCAUGUCUGAAAUAGCAUCUUGUAGUUAUGAAGCCAGAAAAGCUGGAGUUCGCAAUGGUAUGUUCCUUGGUGCUGCUCGCCGGCUCUGCCCUGACAUUAUCUGUAUCCCUUACAACUUCCAAGACUACAGAGAUGUAUCUAAAAAGAUGUUUGAAACACUGGUUCAGUAUUCGCAUGAUAUUGAAGCCGUGAGUUGUGAUGAGGCAUACCUUGAUGUGACACAUAGUUUGGAUGAUCAAACUACGCCACUUGCUCUUGCUCAGAAGAUGCGCAAUGAGAUAAAAGGAAAGACAGGUUGUAAUGUGUCUGUUGGUAUUGGUAACAAUGUGUUGCUGGCAAGGAUGUGCACUAGAAUUGCAAAACCUAAUGGACAAUUCUACUUAUCUGCAGAAGAUGAUGUGUUAGAGUUUGUAGGUAGUCAAAAGGUCACAGAUCUUCCAGGCAUUGGCCGAGCACAAGGUCACAAGUUGAAGUCCCUGGGUAUAGAUUCUUGCGCAGAUCUUCAAAAAUGCAGCCUUCAAUUCCUGCAGCAAACUUUUGGAGAAAAAACAGGAUUUACACUUUAUGGUUUCUGUCGGGGAGAAGACGAUCGGCCUAUAAGGGUGGAAAGAGAGAGGAAAUCAGUUUCCGCUGAAAUAAACUAUGGAAUGCGGUUUACAAAAGAAUCAGAAGCGGAGCAUUUUAUUGAUGAACUAUCUCGAGAAGUACAGAAAAGGUUGAAAGAGUGUGGUGUGAAGGGUCGCUCCAUCACCCUAAAGCUCAAGGUUCGACGUCAGGGAGCCCAAGAACCACUCAAGUUCAUGGGUCAUGGUAUAUGUGACAAUAUUGCACGGUCUGCAGGUCUACAAGUCCCUACUGAUGACUCAAGGUUGAUAUUCAAGAAGUGCCAGUCUCUUUUCCGUCAACUUAGAGUUUCAUCGUCAGAUGUCAGGGGAUUGGGUAUCCAAGUGAGCAAAUUGACACAUUCUGGUGGUGCUGCUCGUACCUUACAUGACUAUGCGCAGACAAUCACUUCAACGGACAAUAAUCGUUUUGAAUGUCAGUCGAGGGAAAAGGAGAAUGAAAAUAAAAUUGUUACGAGCUUGAAACACGACGAAGAUAGUGGCUUACUAAGUGGCAUUUUGAACAGUUCUUCAGAAUCUCCCCCGAACUCGUUUUGUUAUGUAAAGGAACGUCAUGGCGAUUGUUCAUCGCCAACGAGAAGGGAAUCAAUAAUUAACUAUGAAGCACUUGAAAUGGAUUCCCAGAUAUUUCCCCCAUUACCAAGGUUUACUCCUCAACCUCGAUCCACGUCCUCGGCCAAAAGAGAGGUUGAAAGUGUCCAGACUUUUGACGAGGAUCUUUGUCUGCCUUCCUUUUCUCAGCUAGAUGUUAGCGCACUUAAUGCAUUACCUAAAGAUAUGAGGUUGAAAAUCGAAAAGCAUUAUAGUAAAGAUAAAGAGAAGACAGCUAAAGAGCCAGUCGUUACAGAAGAUAACCGAUCGCUACAGAAAUCUCCACAGACAAGUGAAUCAAGCCCUCCUCGUCUUGGUGGAGAAGUAACCUUGUCAGGAGUCAAAAGUGUCAUCAAGGAAUGGGCAAGCACAGAGGCUCCUAUUAAAGAAGAUGUUGAAGUCGUGAGCAGUUACUUGUUAGACCUGAUUAUGAAAAAGAACAUGGAACUACUGCAUCUCCUUAUCAAGUUCUUAAUCAGGUGCAUCAAGAAGACCGAAAACAGUGACUGGCAGUCAGCGUGUGAAGACAUUGUUGAUCGAGUACAGAUGUGUUUUAUUCAACAUUAUGGAGCCCCUUUGGUGUUAUAGGUUUAUUUAAAAAGAAAGCUUCAAAAAUGUUUCCAGCGACAUUUCAAAUCCAGUGCAGAGGCGUUGUUAAAACGUACGAGCAAUAACGAUCCGAAGAAAGUGUUGUUGUUCCUGUCGUAAUAGUGAAGUGCCUGACCCAAUACUUUAUUACGUAAGUAUUACGCACGACUGAAAUAAGAAAGAGUAUAAUCACUGAUAUCACAACGAGCCACAAUCAAGUAAUUCGUCAAGUUAGUAAAGGUAGUGAUCUUGUAUAAUACUUAUAGUCCAAGUGUUUGUAGAAUGAUAUGAAUAAAUAUCUCAGUGUUAAAUAAGAAGUUCAUUUGAACAUGAUCGAGGAAGACGACCUUGUGUUUUAUUAAUUCGGGAAGCGAUUCGAAUGAGCAAACAAAAAGAGAUUGAGGAGAUUGAAGACACUAUAACUAACCAACGUACCGACCAAACAGAAGAUAAAAGAAUAAGUUAUGAAUUAUUCAACCAAUGAAUUUGGAGAAAUUAGGCAACGAACGAUCGCAUGUGCGCGCAAACGAACGAAUUAACGAAAGAACGAAAAAAAGAAAGAAAGAAUUAAUGAAUUAAUGAAUGGAAAAAGAAAAAAAGGAAAAAGCAAACAAACGAAUGAAUGAAUGAGCAAACGAACACCAACCUAAGAAACAAGUUAGCGAACAAAAAAAAAAAAAAAAAAAAAAAAAAAAAAAAAAAAAAAAAAAAAAAAAAAGAAGCAAAUUCGAGCGCAAAGCAUCUUGGGAUGAAUGAACCAGCGACCUUGAAAGGCGGAAGAAAAAAAGCGGUCAAAUCCAAUAUCUCUGGACGUUAAUCUUUCAUUCCAUCUUCAACAAGUAGAAUGAUUAUAGUUUGGUCUAGUAUAGUAAUCUUGAAUCAUUGUUUGACCACCAGUAGGUGAAAACCCCCUUAAGGUUGAUUUUCAACAAUAUGUAGAUUAAAUAAGGACUUAAGAAGAUUUCAAAGCCAUGCAGGCAUACACAAAAUGARAGCGGAACUGAAGAAACGACCAAGCAUCGGCUUUCAAACACUACUGAUAUCAGACUAGAUAUACCUCAUACCCCCUCUAAGGGCUCUACUUUCAAAUUUGCUGAGUGAUUAAAUUAAGACAUUAUGUAAAUUAUACAUUAUUCUUGCAUUUCCCUUUCGAUGUUUCUCUCUGCCUUAAUUUUUCUAAUCGAAUGAAAAAAAUAAUAGUUUGUAUAUCAAAAGGCAGUUUUCUUUAUGGAAUUAAUUUAUUAUACUGCAGUUUAAGCCCUGCUCUUUAAUACUGAAGCUUUUAAGGCGAGAUUGUUAUUAAUAGCAUUAUAGCAUGGGCAARAAAUAAGAUAGUGUUAUUGCCGAGAAUGGAUGUCGGUCGUUCUAGAUUUUGUCUCAGUGAAAUUUGAAUUUUUUUAAACCGCAUCGAAUGUCGAAUGAAUCCGCGCUCGUUCUUUCGGUGAAAUACAAUUACUGAUGUUUGUUGUUUGCGCAGUUGGUUUAGAGAUAUUAGGGUUAUUGGCGGUCAAUCCAAGGCCGAUAUCGAUCAAGUCCAAUCCCGAAGCAAAAACACACAGAUAAAUGAACUUCAUUGAUAUAGGAUUUCUUUCUGAAAUAUAAGACUUCUGUCUAGUCAGACCAUCGGUCUUAUUACGAUAUUUACACCGGUUUAAUACAACUCUAAGUUUCCUGUUAAAACCGAAAACCAUGAAAUUUAAACUACAGAACUCACGGCAGAA
Unclassified non-coding RNA from Actinia tenebrosa (Australian red waratah sea anemone), 4700 nucleotides. Lineage: Eukaryota; Metazoa; Cnidaria; Anthozoa; Actiniaria; Actiniidae. The record is from RefSeq and is a predicted model, not a curated record.